UGUAGUUGGAGCAGCUGUGGUUGUUGAAUGAGCAACUGUGGGUAUUAUGACGCCUGCUGUGGUGACUGUGGCGGCACCUGUGGUUGUUGUGGGAAAAACUGUGGUUGUUGUGACACCAUUUGUUGUUGUAGUUGGAGCAUCUGUGGUUGUUGUGGGAGAAACUGUGGAUGAUGUGACUCCAUUUGUGGUUGUAGUUGGAGCAUCUGUGGUUGUAAUGACAGGAGCUGUGGUUGUAGUAGGAGCAGAAGUGGUUGUGGUGGCAGCUCCUGUGAUUGUGGUGGUUGCUGCUGUUGAUGUUGUCGAAGCAGCUAUGGUUGUUGUGACUGGAAUUGUGGUAGUCGUCAUGCCAGCUGUGGUGGUCGUGGGGUCAGCUGUGGUUGUGGUUGCAGAAGUAGUUGUGGUUGUAGUUGGAGCAGCUGUGGUUGUUGAAUGAGCAACUGUGGUAGUUGUGAUGCCUGCUGUGGUUGUGGUGGCAGCACCUGUGGUUGU
Molecule: long non-coding RNA, 489 nt
Organism: Oncorhynchus tshawytscha (Chinook salmon)
Lineage: Eukaryota; Metazoa; Chordata; Actinopteri; Salmoniformes; Salmonidae
Source: Ensembl